UGCCAAUCCAAAUAAACAGAGGCUGGC
RNAcentral lists this non-coding RNA (27 nucleotides) under Rattus norvegicus (Norway rat). Lineage: Eukaryota; Metazoa; Chordata; Mammalia; Rodentia; Muridae. The record is from RNAcentral.